Molecule: ribosomal RNA, 464 nt
Filed under: uncultured bacterium
Lineage: Bacteria
Description: partial 16S ribosomal RNA
Rfam family: Bacterial small subunit ribosomal RNA
Source: RNAcentral
CUACGGGGUGCUCCAGUGGGGAAUAUUGCACAAUGGGCGCAAGCCUGAUGCAGCCAUGCCGCGUGUAUGAAGAAGGCCUUCGGGUUGUAAAGUACUUUCAGCGGGGAGGAAGGGAGUAAAGUUAAUACCUUUGCUCAUUGACGUUACCCGCAGAAGAAGCACCGGCUAACUCCGUGCCAGCAGCCGCGGUAAUACGGAGGGUGCAAGCGUUAAGCGGAAUUACUGGGCGUAAAGCGCACGCAGGCGGUUUGUUAAGUCAGAUGUGAAAUCCCCGGGCUCAACCUGGGAACUGCAUCUGAUACUGGCAAGCUUGAGUCUCGUAGAGGGGGGUAGAAUUCCAGGUGUAGCGGCGAAAUGCGUAGAGAUCUGGAGGAAUACCGGUGGCGAAGGCGGCCCCCUGGACGAAGACUGACGCUCAGGUGCGAAAGCGUGGGGAGCAAACAGGAUUAGAUACUCCGGUAGUC